UCCUACGGGAGGCAGCAGUGAGGAAUAUUGGUCAAUGGGCGGGAGCCUGAACCAGCCAAGUCGCGUGAGGGAAGACGGCCCUAUGGGUUGUAAACCUCUUUUGCCGGGGAGCAAAGAACCGCACGUGUGCGGUCUGGAGAGUACCCGG
This 148-nucleotide ribosomal RNA is filed under the name Culturomica sp. RNAcentral's name for it is "partial 16S ribosomal RNA". It matches the Rfam family "Bacterial small subunit ribosomal RNA", at positions 337 to 482 of the family's 1533-position model. Lineage: Bacteria; Pseudomonadati; Bacteroidota; Bacteroidia; Bacteroidales; Odoribacteraceae. The record is from RNAcentral.